GACGAACGCUGGCGGCGUGCUUAACACAUGCAAGUCGAACGGAAAGGCCCUGCUUUUGUGGGGUGCUCGAGUGGCGAACGGGUGAGUAACACGUGAGUAACCUGCCCUUGACUUUGGGAUAACUUCAGGAAACUGGGGCUAAUACCGGAUAGGAGCUCCUGCUGCAUGGUGGGGGUUGGAACGUUUCGGCGGUUGGGGAUGGACUCGCGGCUUAUCAGCUUGUUGGUGGGGUAGUGGCUUACCAAGGCUUUGACGGGUAGCCGGCCUGAGAGGGUGACCGGCUACAGUGGGCCUGGGGUGCGGCCCAGGCGCCUACGGGGGGCAGGAGUGGAGAAUAGUGCACAAUGGGCGGAGGCGUGAUGCAGCAACGCCGCGUGCGGGAUGACGGCCUUCGGGUUGUAAACCGCUUUCGCCUGUGACGAAGCGUGAGUGACGGUAAUGGGUAAAGAAGCACCGGCUAACUACGU
RNAcentral lists this ribosomal RNA (467 nucleotides) under uncultured bacterium. RNAcentral describes it as "partial 16S ribosomal RNA". It matches the Rfam family "Bacterial small subunit ribosomal RNA", at positions 28 to 506 of the family's 1533-position model. The record is from RNAcentral.